This 71-nucleotide transfer RNA is filed under the name Patescibacteria group bacterium. Its description in RNAcentral is "tRNA-Trp". It matches the Rfam family "tRNA". Rfam says of the family: Transfer RNA (tRNA) molecules are approximately 80 nucleotides in length. Their secondary structure includes four short double-helical elements and three loops (D, anti-codon, and T loops). RNAcentral also lists the same sequence under 1 other name. The record is from RNAcentral.
GGGCCUAUAGUUCAGUGGUAGAAUUCUCCUCUCCAAAAGGAGCGACCGGGGUUCGAAUCCUCGUGGGCCCG